Molecule: non-coding RNA, 50 nt
Filed under: unclassified sequences
Description: chromate-resist RNA
Rfam family: chrB-b RNA
Source: RNAcentral
CGGGGACGCGCAGACUCCCCGUCAGACGGCUCUAGCCUUCCAAGCUCUGC